This 99-nucleotide microRNA precursor is filed under the name Drosophila willistoni. RNAcentral describes it as "microRNA dwi-mir-277 precursor". Its record names the gene dwi-mir-277. It matches the Rfam family "mir-277 microRNA precursor family". The record is from miRBase by way of RNAcentral. Lineage: Eukaryota; Metazoa; Arthropoda; Insecta; Diptera; Drosophilidae.
UUGAAGGUUUUGGGCUGCGUGUCAGGAGUGCAUUUGCACUGAAAAUUUCUAAAAGCUUGUAAAUGCACUAUCUGGUACGACAUUCCAGAACGUACAAUC